GCAAAUAAGACUCUUGACAAUACUCUAGUAUUGACUCAGCCAAAUAUAAAGCAGUUUCUUGAACUUUAUCAACCUUUUAAAAUAGCUAGUGAGAAUUCUUUAAAAAAGAUGGUCGCUCUCUGCACAGAUCGUCAAAAAAAAAACAAUGAGAAGCAAAGAACUCUUAUAAAGUCUGGUCUUCGUCUUUUAGUAUCUCAAAAAAAGGCUAAGCUAGAGGCUCUUCGAAAGCAAAAAUCUAAGUUAACCAAAGAGAGGGAUAUGGAGCUGGUAAAUCUUGUUGAAAAACAAAAACUUACUCUAAAAUCUCGUUUGGAAAGUCUUGGAGAGAAAAUUGAAGAGCUUUCCAUUCAAAAGGAAAAUUUAAUAAAUCAAGAAAGAUUUCAUACGAACCAAGCAAUGAAUAAGCUUACCAAUCAAAGUCUUCUAGAUGGUACUUUCUUAGAAUUUUCAUUCAGUCAACAAACUCUUGUACACGAUCUUGAAAAAA
Zophobas morio is the source of this 487-nucleotide long non-coding RNA. RefSeq lists it as uncharacterized. The record is from RefSeq and is a predicted model, not a curated record. NCBI's taxonomy places the organism in Eukaryota, Metazoa, Arthropoda, Insecta, Coleoptera, Tenebrionidae. The transcript is spliced from 4 exons.